GACGAACGCUGGCGGCGUGCUUAACACAUGCAAGUCGAGCGGAGCGGCGAACGGGUGAGUAACGCGUGAGUAACUGCCCCCCUCUCUGGGAUAACAGUUGGAAACGGCUGCUAAUAACGGAUAGUGGGGGAUGACUCGCGUCCUAUCAGCUUGUUGGUGGGGUAGUGGCCUACCAAGGCGACGACGGGUAGCCGGCCUGAGAGGGCGACCGGCCACAUGGGGCGUAGAUACGGCCCCAACUCCUACGGGGUGCAGCAGGGGGGAAUAUAGCACAAUGGGGGAAACCCUGAUGCAGCAGUGCCGCGGGCUGGAGGACGGCCUUCGGGGUGUGAACCGAUUUCAGCCAUGACGCGGUAGUGGCAGAAGAAGCACCGGAUAACUACGUGCCAGCAGCCGCGGUAAUUC
Molecule: ribosomal RNA, 405 nt
Filed under: uncultured bacterium
Lineage: Bacteria
Description: partial 16S ribosomal RNA
Rfam family: Bacterial small subunit ribosomal RNA
Source: RNAcentral